This 492-nucleotide ribosomal RNA is filed under the name uncultured bacterium. Its description in RNAcentral is "partial 16S ribosomal RNA". It matches the Rfam family "Bacterial small subunit ribosomal RNA", at positions 29 to 507 of the family's 1533-position model. The record is from RNAcentral.
AGUGAACGCUGGCGGUAGGCCUAGCACAUGCAAGUCGAACGGCAGCACAGUAAGAGCUUGCUCUUACGGGUGGCGAGUGGCGGACGGGUGAGGAAUGCAUCGGAAUCUACUUUUUCGUGGGGGAUAACGUAGGGAAACUUACGCUAAUACCGCAUACGACCUACGGGUGAAAGCAGGGGAUCUUCGGACCUUGCGCGAUUGAAUGAGCCGAUGUCGGAUUAGCUAGUUGGCGGGGUAAAGGCCCACCAAGGCGACGAUCCGUAGCUGGUCUGAGAGGAUGAUCAGCCACACUGGAACUGAGACACGGUCCAGACUCCUACGGGAGGCAGCAGUGGGGAAUAUUGGACAAUGGGCGCAAGCCUGAUCCAGCCAUACCGCGUGGGUGAAGAAGGCCUUCGGGUUGUAAAGCCCUUUUGUUGGGAAAGAAAAGCAGCAGGUUAAUACCCCGCUGUUCUGACGGUACCCAAAGAAUAAGCACCGGCUAACUUCGUG